RNAcentral lists this ribosomal RNA (216 nucleotides) under Glomeromycotina sp. RNAcentral describes it as "partial small subunit ribosomal RNA". The stretch from base 40 to 216 matches the Rfam family "Eukaryotic small subunit ribosomal RNA", at positions 686 to 864 of the family's 1831-position model. The record is from RNAcentral. Lineage: Eukaryota; Fungi; Glomeromycota.
GGGUCAGUAGGUUGGUCGUGCCACCGGUACGUACUGGUCUCACUGAUUCCUCCUUCCUGAAGAACCGUAAUGCCAUUAAUUUGGUGCUGCGGGGAAACAGGACUGUUACUUUGAAAAAAUUAGAGUGUUUAAAGCAAGCUAACGCUUGAAUACAUUAGCAUGGAAUAAUAAAAUAGGACGAUCGAUCCUAUUUUGUUGGUUUCUAGGAUUGACGUA